RNAcentral lists this long non-coding RNA (11062 nucleotides) under Phaseolus vulgaris (common bean). Its description in RNAcentral is "long non-coding RNA (PVUL_LNC001828)". The record is from RNAcentral. Lineage: Eukaryota; Viridiplantae; Streptophyta; Magnoliopsida; Fabales; Fabaceae.
UGUGCUUCAACUUCUAGCCAUUGUUCCACAACACCCCUCUCUUCCGGUGUCCUCCCCAACAGCUCAACCCCCUGAGAUCUGUAUUUGUCUGCAUAAUACCUCAUUAUAGCACGAGAUUCUGCAGAAACAGAUCAAACACAGACAAGUUACAAGGUGGUAUAGCAGUAAGAUAAGAAAAAAUAACUGAAGAAACAAAAUAUGAACAAAAAAGCAAAAGUAUAUAGGAGUUGAAAGUGUAACCAUAUAAGGUGUAGUCUCCAUCUUGGAUGACAGGAACAACUCCAAAGGGCUGCAGAUAUGAUGAAUAAAGAAAAUGAAUGAGAAGAUAAAGAAAGACGUAAUCUUGAAGAGUGAUGAGGGUGGGCAAAAAAAGAAAAUUGAACCUGUAACUUGAGAAACUCGGGAUCCUUGUGCUCUCCCUUAGUGAGAUCGACUGGGACAACCUCAAAUUCGACGUCCUUCUCAAGGAGACAUACUAGCACCCGUUUAGUGGAAGCACAGUGAGGACCGUACACCUUCACUACCAUGUUUUGAUUCUCUUCAGAAACCCUUCAACAAGACUGAAGCAGUGAUAGAGCCAAACACAAUUUCUACUUCCUGGUAACACUUCUUAUAGUGCCCCUACGCGUGAAAUCAAGCGCAUGUUUUCACACUGUAGUUGUAAAUGGAUUUGGAAUGGGUAGGAUAGAAUCAAACUCUUUUACUUAAUAUAAUAAAAGAUUUGUGUGGAAUUAGAUAGAAGUUUCGAGUGGUUGGUCCUUUGGGAAAAGAGGAAAAAGAAGAUGUGAAUAUAAAUAUUACAACUACCAAACAUGAUGGGCAAUGAUUUAGAAAGUAAAGAUGAGGGGGUGGAUAUUAUUGUGGUCGACAAAUAAUCAAUGUGCUACCUUUAAUUGUACAGAAUUCGGAUUACUGUGUAUAAAAGUAUAACAUUUAUAUUGAUGUCUAUUAAAGUUAAAUUUAUAGUAUUAUUUUUUUAUUGAAAGUUAAGAAAGAGAUAAAUAUUUUAGAACGUGUUUCCCACCAAAAAAAUAAAUAAAUAUGAAGUAGAAAUUAAAGAUGUUUAAUUAAAAGUUGAGGUAUUAUUUAUAAAUAAACAAUGAAAUAAAAAAUUAAAUAGUUUAAUAAUUAUUGACAUAUUUUAUUUUUAUUGCAAUACAAACAUUUUAAUUAUGUUAAUUUCAUUUGAGUUCUAUUAAUAUUUAACACAAUUAAACAAGUAUUUCGUCUUUAAUAAGUUGUCACGUGUGUUUGUGUUUAUUGGAGAAGAAAAAUAAUAACUUUAACCUGUAAUUAACUUUAACCUAUAUUUUCUAUUUUAUACAUUAAAAAUUCUUUGUGAUUCUUUUAAAAUUUUUGAAUAAACAUACGUGAUAGUUACAAAUACAAAAGUAUUUAAUUGUAUUAAAUAAUAGAAUCCAACAAAAUGUAAGUUUUUUUUAUUAAAAUAAAAAACUUAUUGUAUUGAAAUAACUAUUUAUCCAAAUAAAAAUAAUAUUGUCUUUUGAAAUAAGUGACUCCCAACCAAAAAAUCCAACUUGUUUUAUUUAUUAAGAAUUAUUGUUUUCUCAUGAUUCAAGUAAAGCAUUAGUUAAAAUUUAGAAAAUAUUUCUUAAAAUGGUCUAGCAAUAAAAUUGAAUAAAAAAAAAGUGUCAUUUUCGCUUCUUAAGAACAUAAGAUGGCAAAUAAUUGGAAGUUCUAACAAUUAUAUCCCAUAUUUCAUAAUUCAAGUAAAGCCUUAGUAAAAAUUUGGAAAAUAUUAAAAAUGUCUAAGAUUGAAAAUAAAAUAAAUAAAUAAAAAAGUGCUCUUUUCGCUUCCUUGGAAAGUUGUAAGAAUUAUAUCCUCAUAUUUUUUCCUUUUUUCUUCUAAGGACCAACUCAUCAACACCUACUUAUUAUUAUUAUUGUUAUCUAGUCAAAAUAACCAUCAAUUAUGAUAAAAGUACUCAUAACACUAAGACCUACUAAACCUCGCGACUGGUCGAAUUGAUAUUUUCAAUUAAUUAACCUAUUUUUAAAUUAAAUAUUUAAAUAAAAAUAUUUUAAUAGAUUAAUUUUCUAUAUUAUAUUAUUCGAAAGAUGUAGAUAUGAAAUAGUAUUGUAACUUAAAUCAAUAAUAAUUGCAAAUUAAGUUUCAGUUAAUUAUAAAAAUAAUUUAAUACAUAAAUGCAAUGGUUAAACUAUAAGAAAAGUUGUUUUUGGAAACUAAAUUUUUGAGUUUCUAAAAUGAUAAAAUUAGUCAAUAACUUAAUUAGAAACUAAUUUAAAAUCUAAUUGUAGUAAGUGGCUAAAAUCAUCUUCGUUAAUUUUAUAUACCAAUUUAGAUUCUAAUUUAGAAACCAAUUUAGUUAUCAAUAAAAACCAACUUAGUGACCAAAUAUAUAGAAACUAAUUUAGUAAUCAAUUAUAUAGAAAUCAAAUUAACAACCAAUUUUAUUGAAACCAAUUUAGUGACCAAAAUAUAUAGAAACUCAUUUAGUGACCAAAUAUAUAAAUAUAAAAAAAUGGUCACUAUAAUGGUCUCCAAAUAAUAUAAUUUUUUGUAAAAAAAAAAAAUUUAUCAAAUGGAAAAAUCAAUUCAUUUGAAAUAUUUUAAGAUAUUCUCUUGUGUCUAAAACUAGUUUCAAUAUAAGUAUGCACAUGAAGGAAAUUAAAUCAUUAGAAGGAACAAUCCAAUUUAGCUUAAUCUUUCUUUGUCGAGCCUUAUUUAAAUUAUUUUUCAUUAUUAUAGCAUCUCGCAUUUCAAAAUUAUUUCUUGCCCACUUAUGAUCUGGUGCACAAAUCGAAAACUUCUUCUGCAUUAAUAAAAAAACAAAGUUAAUUAUAUGUAAAACUAACAUACAUAAUAAAAUUGAACUAAAUAAUUAAAUAAAGUUAGUUAUAUGAAAUCAACCAAAAACUCUCCGAACUACAAGUCUCUUGUUCUAAACACCAAAUAAGAUGCAUCUUUUAAAAAAGCAAACAAAAACCAAAUAGUUUUUUAUGACUAGUCGCUCGGAAGAGAAAAAUUAAUCAAGAAAUAUUGACCUUAUAAUUAUGGAUUGAUUCACUUCAUCUGCAAACAAAGCAAUAGACAGAUUAAAAAGUUAUAGUACAAAACGAAUGGAAACAGCUUAACCUUUUAAAACUUAAUUUCUAUAAAAAAUAAGGAAAAAGUUGUCUCGUAUCAUUUCUCGAAUGGCUGUCAGUAAUUGCAUAUAAAUGAGGGCUUUCACUUGCCUUACACUUGUAGGCUUCAAUAUAGUCAUUUUAUCAUACUAGAGAGUUUACUAUCAUUCGUGGGACUCCAUUAAACUUGACUUUCGACUCGUAAACUCGUAAGAGUCUACUUCAUAAAAAAAAUUUAACAAAAAAAUAAUUCAUGAAAACAAAUCCAUAAUAUUGAAAUAAACAAGUUCAUACACUAAUAAAAUAACUAAAACAACACAAAUGUUAUAAUUUAAAAGUCUCAUUCUUCUAAUUCUUCAAGAAAAUCAUCUAACUCUAAAACAAACAAUCAAUUAGUCAUUCUGCUUUAAAAUUAAACAAAAAUCCAAUAUGUCCAAAGCAGUAAAAGAACUUCAGGAUGUCCAAAAAUCUGCCCCAACCCAAUGAACAAAAACGCCCCAACCCAUUUUUAAAAGUUCAAACCUAAUUUUGAAAACCCUAACCCAAUCCGUCCUCACCGCAGCAGCAGGACUUACCCAUCAAAGUGUUUCGCGAACGGCGUAGUGUGACGAGGAUCAUUGUGAAACGAGGUGUGACAACCAGCGGCGCGAUGCGACGAGCGGUGCGGUACGAGGAGCAGUGUGGGGUUGUGCGAGGCGAGGAGCGACGCGGUACGAGGCAAGGAGCGGCGCGGUACGAGGCGAGGAGCGGUGCGGUGUGAUGAGCGGUAAAACCCUAAAAAAUCUAACCUAAUCACAAGGAAACACAUCGUUUUGAGUCCAUUUUACGCAACUCGAUAACUCGACCUUAAACUCACGAGUUUAGCCGAGUUUGACCGAGUCAACUUCGGAUUCGGGUUUACUCAAAAACGAGUUUACUCCCGAGUUGACUCGCCAACCUUCACCUGACUCUUAAACUCAAACUCGUAAGGGUUUACGAGUUAACCUUAGAGUUUGAUAAUUUGAUUAUUACCAUACAAAGUAACUUUCUUAAAAGGGAUUUAUGGCAACCAAAACAGGCCCAGCUUUCAUCUGAAUUAAAUAGUUAUGCACUUAAAGAGGUUAUGAUUAGGAAAAUAAAUCAAGAUAGAAAAUUAAGAGAUAUAAGCUUACAUAGAUCAUAUCUUGGUUGUAUCUAUAUUGCAGGUUGAAUAAAACUGCUGAUUCAUUUAAAUAACUAAAUAGAAGGUACCAUGAUAAACUGAUUUCAAAACACAGCAGCAGAGAAAAAUUGAAAUCCAAGGCCAAAAUUAUCUUUUUUGAACCAUAAGAAUUUGUAUCAUUCCACCUGUUUUCCCUAGAGGAUGUCAAAAUUGAUGGCAGGGGCAACGUAACGGAUACCAAGUCUUCAUCUGCAUUAGAUGGUCGGUCUUUUAAUGAUCAACCAAUUUAUUUUAAAUUCUAAGUGUACUUUCUUUUUGGUUUGAGGUUUAAACUAAAAAAAUAAAAACUUUGAAAUGUACUGAUGAAAAAUGCCACAAUAUUUACAAUACAAUAAUAUGAAACUAAUCUAAUCAUUUUAAUAUUAUCACUAAUUUAUAAAAGUAAAAAUUUAUGUUGGACUCCCACAACUUUUGUAACAUGGAUCAAGCAUCAUGAACCAGGUGCACACGAAAUAACUCAGUUCUAGAAGGAUUAUAAAGCCCUUAACCAAGAGAGGCUAGAAAGAUUAAAAAGAUACACCUCAUUGAGGAAAGAAGUGUUCACAACAAAGAGGAAAAAAAAGCAAUUUGUCAAAUACUUUAACAACCCAAGAUUAAUUUUCAGAGUAAACAAAAUUUUGGUUUAACUACAAUAUUAGUGUCAUUAACAAAGUGCACAAGAAAUUACAUACCUCACUGAGUACUAACACUACAAAGAGAAGAAAGCACAGUAAAUAAAAUUAUAAAGUUAGCCCUUCCACUCUACAGGUUCCAUGCAUUUGGUUUUGCAGAGGCAAGCAGAGGUAUUGAUCCCAAUCCCACAUAUUUGGAUUCUAGUUUCUACUAAUUAAAGCAUGCCUUGUCUGACAAAAAGUCUUUCCAAAGUUCCAAAAGCAUUUGUCUCAAUAAAGGGAAAACAACUAAACUAGUUGUAGGUGCGUACUAAACCUUUUGAUGCUCCAAAUACCAUUAUAUUAUACUACACAAAUCACAAUAUCUCCAAGUUCUAAAUAAAUAAAUAAAAACCACAUUAACAAUACCAUUGAAAUGUAAUCAGAUACACAAAAAUCUACACAAUUAGGUAGUUAGCACGAUGUCAAAGUUUCAAUAAACUUUGAAUUUUUGUUUGAGCUUGCAAGCCUAAGGCCUAACUAAACCAACAACACUGACCAUAUACCGUGCAUAAAGAUAUUCACAAGUUAAUGAAACUUGAUCAAACUAGACAAAUAAAACGAAGACCUCAAAUUAAUAUCCCCAUAUUAAUUAUGCAGUUGCUUAUUAUUUUACUAGAAUUACCUUCAAAACUAACAGCCACACAACUUACAACAGAGUACCUUUUAUGUGUAAUAAUCUAGGAUUUUAAGAUGGGAAGAUACAUUGAGUAAAGUUGUGAAGUUUCGAUGAGCAAACACAAAAAUAAAAGACAAAGAGCGAGAAUGAAACACGAAUUGAAACUUACUAUGAUAAGCUUAAAGAGGUUAGUCUCAUUCGAAACAGAGAAACGUCAUUGUUGCGGGUGCGUUACCGUCUCAAGGUGCGUUGUCGUUGUAGGGUGUGGUUUCCGGUUGUUGAGUGCUAAGAGUGAGAGAUGAGAAAAAAAGUUAAAGAAAACAGAUAAACUUUGAAAUUCAAAACCUUACAUACCAAUUGGUUAAAUUUAAAAAAAUUAAAUAAUUUUUUGAAAAAUAUGCAUCUUUAUUUAAAUUUAUUUAUUAAAAUUUUAAUUUAAAUAAUAUUUUGAAUUAAUCAUUAAUUUAAUUUUAUAUUUAAAUAAAAUUAAAAGAUUAAAAUACUAUUUUAAAUGUAAUUUUUAAAUUUAUAUUAAUUAUUUUAAUAUUAUACUAAAAUUAUUAAAUUAUUAAAUUUAUUCAUAUCAAUUUAAAAUAUUUUAUAAAUUAAUAAUUAAUUUUAUAAAAUUUAAUUACUUCAAAAUUAAUAUUUAAAUUCAAAUAAUAGUGACUAGAAAUUUAAGUAUCUCAUUAUAAUUAUAUAAUGAUUAGAAACUACAAAAUUAGUUUUAAAUUUUAUUAUUUUUAGUGACUAAAAUUAGUUUUUAAAAUAGAUUAAAAUUAAUUAAAAUAGUUUCCAAUUAUAUCUUAACAAGAUUCUCUCUCUCUCUAUCUCUCUAUCUCUAUCUCUCUCUCUCUAAUAAAUUGAAACAUAGAUGAAUAGAAUCUUACACGGACUACUUCUUAUGCGGGACAGGAUGGUCAAAUGAACUUGCAUUUCUUAUAUAGGUUGGACCAACCUGACCUGCGUUUUGCGAGUCAAACAUGGGAGGGACCAACCGACAUUGCCACCUAAUUUGACAUGAAAUAUUUGUUUUGCCCUUAAUGAUUUAAAAGACUUUGUCUUCUGGAUUUUCAUAUACGUAAGUUAAAUUACAAAGUUCUGGAUAUGCAAGUUCGAAACUAAUAUGUCACUUUCGGAUUUAGUCAUCCAGAAGCUUACCUGACCAACAUAAAUGACCUUCUGGAUGCCAUGAUCCAUAAGCAAACAUAAAUGAACUCGAGAUUCUAAUAUUUAACAUCAUUUAUAGCACACCAUUUCGAACAUAAAAAUCUGAAACUCAUAACUCACUUCCGGAUAUGAUCAUCCAAAAACUUAAAUGAAAUAUAAAAAUGAUCUUCUGAAUAUCGAAGUCCGGAGUAUAUAACAACCACAUUCAAAUUUUUGCAUCUAUAACUAAAUAUGAAGCCUUCCGAAUAUCACGAUUCGGUAACAACUUAACCCCAUUAUCAACUAAAACACAAAACGUAAAUAAUUUUCCUUACCUCAUAAAAGAUUUACACCACACCACGCUUAAAAGUAAUGACUUCAUUCCACCACCACACCAACCCAAUUCACCACCACUCAAAACGGUUCAGCAUUUAAAUCACAAAGCUUCACUUUUUUCUGUGAUGAACUAUGAUGGGAGCAACAGCAUUAAAACUGCAGAAGCAAUGCAUAGCUAUUUAAAGUCUGAAACCCCUACUUUCCAAUUUAUUUCAGUUCUUACUCUUUUAAAAUUUCUCUAAUCAAAUUUCAAAUAGUGCUUUUACCAUGCUCUUUGAAAUAUACAAAUAGUUUAUACAAUUAUACUAUUCAUUCCACUGGCUGCCUCAGAAAAGAAAUUGCACUGCUACAUAAAUAAUUACUUUAUGCCACUCAUUCCUAAAGCUAACUAUGACAGACAAAAUAUGCAAAAAGGAGUUACUUUCAUCUAUCAAAGUUGUGUGCUAUUAUUUUAUUUGACUAUUGAAAAUCUCACCUGUGAUGGUCUCUUUCUCACCCUCUAAUCUAUCAAAAAUCCAUUUAAUGGAGCCUAAUUUAGAAGAUUAAGUGCUUAUGUAGCCUAUUAAAUGCCUCUUAAGCAUCCACACGGCAAAGCUACCUAAGCAGUAAAGCACAUUAGCAGAAAGGCUACUUUAGUGACGUACAGAUUUUUGAAGGACUUGGGUAAUGAUAGUAAGUAUUUUUAGGAUUGAAGCAAAGUCAAAUUAAUAUUUUUUAGGUACCAAAGUGAUAACAUGUGGGUUUUGGCUUGAAUGUUUAUGGGCAAAAGUGAUUCAUUGUGGUACAUGGUGAUGAAAGUGAUGGCUAUGGCUUGGACCCGACCCGCUCUAGUCAAGUUCCAUUUUUUUUCAGUCAAGUCCGUUAGUAGAACCAGUGUAAAGCACUAUGUUCAAUUUAUUGGAACCCAUCAAAUAUAAAUUCUUGUGUGAUUGCCAUGCUCAGAGACCUUCAAACAACAUUACAGAAGAAACAAGAAAAACUAGCAAGCCUAGACAAAAGGAUUGAGGUUAAAAUUAAUGCAAGCAAUCAAAUACCUUCGUUCACAUCUCCGUUCGCCUUUGCUCGCACCUUCGUUCUCCUUCGCUCGCACCUCCGUUCGCCUCCGCUCACACCUCUGUUCGCCUUUGUUCGUACUUCCGUUCGCACCACGACCACCACCCACAACUUCCUCCUCCUCCUCCGACCACCGCCUGCAGCUUCCUCUGCACCUUUGUUCACACCACGUCCAUUUUUGGGUAUUUGGUGUCCUAAAAGCACCUACAACUUCCAAAUAACUCUGAAGCUUACAAAAAAUCAAAUUCCAAGUUUUAUCUAAUUGUCACAUUCUUUUUUUACUGAAGUCACCUCUUUAUAAAUAAUAUUAAAAAAUAUAGUAUUUAUGUAAAAUUAAGAAAUAAAUAUUAAAGGAGUAUUUAAAUAUCAAUGAUAAUAAAUAUAAAUAUUUUAAUUAAUUAAUAAUUUUCAUACUAAUACAUUUUAUAAUUUCUAACUAGCAGAUACUUACCUCUAUUAAUAAUUUUUAAUUGAAAAAAAUAGAAACAAGUAAUAAAACUGUUAUAAUAAAAAAAUUAAUAAUUAAAAAAUUAUUUACAAUUUAAUUCUGAAAAUUUAUUUAUUUUUAUAAAAUUAAAGUUGUUUUAAAAAGAUCAUUUUAUUUAAAUUUAAUUAUUUAGCAUAAUUUAUUUUUUUUAAAGGAUUAAUUUUAUUAACAAUAAUUAUUUUUUUUAUGUAAUUUUAUUUAAAAAAAUUAUUUGAGGUGAUAUUUUAAAAAAAUAUUUAAUAAAUUUUAUCUAAAUUUAAUAAAUUACAAAUAUAUUUGACACAUAUUUUUUAAAUAAAAAAAAUCAGUAAUACAAUUAAUUAUUUUUUAAAUGGAUGAGUACUCAUUAAUAUUCAAAGUGCUUGUAUAGUUUUUUAAAAUAAAAAUAAAUUAUUAUUAUCAUUAAUAGUAGUUGUAAAAUAAACAAGAUUUAGCGACUAAAAAAUUUCGAUGGCUAAAAAAUAAACGUGUUUAGUGGCUGAUUCAGUGAUAAAAAUAAAUAAUUAUAUCUAGUGACCGAAACAAAAUCGGUAGCUAAAACAUAAACAAAUUUGAUGGCUGGUUCGGUAGUAAAAAUAAACAUUUAUAUUCAGCGACCAAAAGAAAAUCGGUAGCUAAAAAGUAAAUAUAUUCAGUGCCUAAUUUGGUGGCAGAAAAAAAAUAAUAAAAUUUAGUGACCAAAAUAAAAUUGGUGGCUAAAAAAUAAACAUAUUCGGUCGCUAAUUCGGUUGCAAAUAUAUUUUUUCCAAUUUAUUCGAAACAAUCACCACUUUAACGACCAACGGUUUUGUCACUUUCAUGUUCGGUCACGGAUUCAUUCGCAAAACUAACUAACAUGAUUUUUCAUGUUCGGUCGCGAAUUCAUUCGCAAAACUAACUAACAUUAUUUUUUAUGUUCGGUCGCGAAUUCAUUCGCAAAACUAAACUAACUAGCAUGAUUAAUAAUUCAGUUAGUCGCCAUUUCGAAUUCGUUCGCAAAACUAACUAACAUGAUUAAUCAGUCGCUAUUUCGAUCACAAAUUUGUAAGUUAUUUCGAUCGCAAAUUCGACACUAUAUUGUUCGCUAAAUUCAGUAACUACAGUAUAAAAAAAACACUCUUCUCCAAAAAAUAAUUCAAAACAAAGAAGAUAGGACAAUGUCAAGAAUUCUCCAAAAAAUAAUUCAACACAAAGAAGAUAGGACAAUGUCAAGAAGAUAGGACAAUGUUGGACAAUAUCUUAAAUGAUAUGAUGAAGGGAGAAACACCCCUAAUUUUUUAGUAUCAGAUUUAGCGUUUUACUAUUGUUAUUAAGUUUUAUGCAAAAAAAAAUUUAAUCAAAAUAACAUAACUAAAUCUUUCAUAAAUAUUUUACCAUUUAAAAAAAAAAACAAUUUUUUGAAACUGAUGAAGUCAUACAUACUAAAUACAAUUUUAAUACAAUCUGAUAGUACAAAUAUAAUUCUGAAGUUGUAAUGAUUUCAAUACGAUAUAAUAUCACUAUCACUGAAGUUAUAAUGUCAAAAUACAAAUUCAAUUAUAGAAAUCUUUUUAAAAAAAUUGUUUUUAUAUUAUACGAAUUUAAUUAUUUCCUAAUUAAAAUCACAUUUUACAACUAUAAUUUCUUUAGAAAUUAUUAUCUACAUAAAACUCGUAUUUGACACAUACGAGGAUUUAUCCAAUUUUAAAACAAGAAACUAAUCUGUCCAUUUAGAAAAAUUUGGACUAAAAUUACACUAAUUUUUGGAGAAAGAAACCGACUAAGUAUUAUAAAUAAAACUGCCACAUAAAAACAUGACUUAUAGCAUUUUAGGACACCAAUUUAAAGUCUCCAACUGAACAUUAAGUUUCAAACUAUUACACUUUUAUUUAAGUUUAGAAAACAUUUGUUGUCUAAAGACUUUUGGGUUUAUAUUGCAACAUCACUCAUAAUUGGAUAAAAGUACAUUUAUUCUUGAGAAGCAGAAGCAGGUGCAGUGCAGAGAUGGAUGAUACUAAAUGCAUCAUCCAUGAACUUCAUUCUGGAACUAAACUGGAGGUGGGUAGAGUUCAAUAACCUUCUUCCAUGAUGGUCUACUGCUUAUGUCAUCCCACCAACCACUCACAUGCUUCCUCUCUUUUAUCAGAUACCCUUUAUUCAUUUGGUUCACUAUAAAAUAUGUAAAUGGAAGAUGACUUAUAUCAGCAAGACUGAAGAAAUCCCCACCCAAAUACUUGCUCUUUGACAGCCUCUCCUCAUAAACAUCCAACACCUUCAACAGCUUUGCUUCACUCUCCUCAAUCACCUUUGGAUCUGGAGUCAUGCCAAAUAUUGGAGCAAACAACAGAUGCACAGCCAAGUCAUAGGCUGGUGGGUGAAAGUUAUGUGCUUCAACUUCUAGCCAUUGUUCCACAACACCCCUCUCUUCUGCUGUCCUCCCCACCAGCUCAACCCCCUGAGAUCUGUAUUUGUCUGCAUAAAACCUCAUUAUAGCACGAGAU